RNAcentral lists this ribosomal RNA (677 nucleotides) under uncultured bacterium. Its description in RNAcentral is "bacterial SSU rRNA". It matches the Rfam family "Bacterial small subunit ribosomal RNA", at positions 8 to 683 of the family's 1533-position model. The record is from RNAcentral.
AGAGUUUGAUCAUGGCUCAGGAUGAACGCUGGCGGCGUGCCUAAUACAUGCAAGUCGAACGCUUCACUUCGGUGAAGAGUGGCGAACGGGUGAGUAAUACAUAAGUAACCUGGCAUCUACAGGGGGAUAACUGAUGGAAACGUCAGCUAAGACCGCAUAGGUGUAGAGAUCGCAUGAACUCUAUAUGAAAAGUGCUACGGGACUGGUAGAUGAUGGACUUAUGGCGCAUUAGCUUGUUGGUAGGGUAACGGCCUACCAAGGCGACGAUGCGUAGCCGACCUGAGAGGGUGACCGGCCACACUGGGACUGAGACACGGCCCAGACUCCUACGGGAGGCAGCAGUAGGGAAUUUUCGGCAAUGGGGGAAACCCUGACCGAGCAACGCCGCGUGAAGGAAGAAGUAAUUCGUUAUGUAAACUUCUGUCAUAGAGGAAGAACGGUGGAUAUAGGGAAUGAUAUCCAAGUGACGGUACUCUAUAAGAAAGCCACGGCUAACUACGUGCCAGCAGCCGCGGUAAUACGUAGGUGGCGAGCGUUAUCCGGAAUUAUUGGGCGUAAAGAGGGAGCAGGCGGCACUAAGGGUCUGUGGUGAAAGAUCGAAGCUUAACUUCGGUAAGCCAUGGAAACCGUAGAGCUAGAGUGUGUGAGAGGAUCGUGGAAUUCCAUGUGUAGCGGUG